UGAAAUUAUUUUAUUGGAUUUAGUUUCUGUUUGUAUUUAUUUCUUCACGCUAGCUUUUAGGUAUUUGAUAAAGGCAUUUUUUGUUUACCUCAGAUAAUUAUUUAAAAGUGUAUGAAUCUGUUUGCUGCAGAAAUGUCUUGUGGAAACGUGAAGGCACAAGGAAAUGCAUUAAUUCAUUCAAUAAUUGUUUACAGAGCCCGUGCUCAGCAUAGGGCACUAGGCUGAUGAUGGUAGUAAGACUACUAGGAGGUUGAGGUGUGUUUCAGAGAGAAGAACAAGCACAAGUUAAGGUCCUAGAUAGGAAAGAGUUCAAUGUCUCAAAAGGAAUAAAAACUAUUACUGAAAGGGGGAGUGUGGUGGUUCUGGGUGGCAGAGGGCAGGGGCUGUUAAAGAGAAGUUGUGACUGAUGGUACUGCCCGUGUCAAUCAUUUGUUUAAAUCCUACAUAUUUAGAAUUUACCUUGGCCUAGCAAUAUGCAGUAGAUCUUUUUAUCUUUAAAUCAUACAUGACUGGAAACUCCUUGAAUAUGGAGACAAUCUCUUAAUCAUUUUUAAUUCCUCCAAUUACUGGCACAUCUAAAUCACAACCAGUGAGCAUUCACAACAUUGUCUCAGACAUAUCCUCAGUCAUCUAAGCUCCUACUGUUCUUAGUAUUAAUGUAUAUCUGUGAGUAGAGGUCAUUUACACUUAUGAAUUCCAAUAAUUUAUGAACAGGUAAGUAGUUAGGAACCUGAGGUUCUGCCACUUACUAGCUGGGUACCUGUAGGCUGAAGGGGCGGACCUACGCCAGCCGACCAUGCCUCCUCCCCUUGAGUAACAGGACUCCAACCCUUCCCCAGCCAAUCAGCCAAGGCCACGACACUUCCCCAGCCAAUCGGCUGAGGCCACAGCCAUUACCUCACCAACUGCCCCUAGACCCCAAUAAAACCUUUGUGCUUUUGAAACUCACUCUCUCUCCCUGGCAUCACACCGCUGCGUCCGUACGGUGACUGAAAGCAUCUCAUGGAUUUUGUUGUUAAAAGCAAUCAUACUUUCUGCAAGACUUGCUUCCUUCUCCACAUCUCUUUAAUUCCAAUUUUCUACAUCAGGUCUGAUACCAUCUGGAAUAGAGGAUGAAUUGAAUGCUGCGAACCUUUAAAUUAGCUUGAUAUUUCUAAAAACUAAGAGGAAAAGUUUUUAAAUACUUCAAGGUUGCAAGGUCAACCUCCUGAAAUCUCAACACUCUUUGGGAUUCUAUUUAAAUCUGUGUAGCCUGCAUUGCAAUUCUUUGAUCCCAACUACAUGCUUUAUCUCUGGAACUGAUUUCUUGUUUAUUGGCUGACAUCUUCAACUAUAACAGCAAUGUUAUUUCUGUGGCCAAACUGUUCUCCCAGAAUAUCUUCAGGGACCAAUCACUAUAAAAAGAACUAGAACUUUUUGUACAUUCACUGGAGUUGGCCAUCAUCACUUAAUUAUCAAGCGCUCCAAAUGUCUCCUGAACAGCUCGUAACAUUCAACAAAAUCAAUGCUACCUUUAAGUUUUUAUAACCAAUAUGUCUUAUGCAAUUAAAAUUUUUGAAUGUGAAAGCUUCCUGUAACAUCUUAAUUGGACAAGAAAUUAAAAUGCGUGAUAAGUGAUAUGACACUUAUCGUCUUCACGUUAUUACAGUGAACUAAGUACCCAAAAGAAUAGAAAUAUCCCAAUAAAAUUUGUCCUAGGCAGUGGUCUGCAGUAAUGCCUGAGAAAGUAAGUGGGGAGGAAAAGACGCAGAAGUGUUAAAUACUAGAAAUAAGUGGAUGAACGGAUG
Molecule: long non-coding RNA, 1787 nt
Organism: Neofelis nebulosa (Clouded leopard)
Lineage: Eukaryota; Metazoa; Chordata; Mammalia; Carnivora; Felidae
Exons: 4
Source: RefSeq, a predicted model, not a curated record